This 793-nucleotide non-coding RNA is filed under the name Lichtwardtia dentalis. The record is from RNAcentral. Lineage: Eukaryota; Metazoa; Arthropoda; Insecta; Diptera; Dolichopodidae.
UAAAAGUUUUAUUUUGGCUUAUUAAUUUAUUAUAAGUUUGUUUAUAUAUGUAAAUUUUUGUGUGAAUUUAUUAUAUUCUAAAAGAAUAUUUUAUUAUUUUUAUUCGCAGUAUAUGAUAUUAAUUAUUAGAUAAAUCUAGAAUUGGUAAUAUUGUUAAGUAUUGGCUAAAUUUGUGCCAGCCGCUGCGGUUAUACAAAGAAUACAAGUAAAUUUUAUUGGUUAUAAGUUAAAUAAAAUAUUUAUUUAAUAGAUAAUAAUUUUUUAGGUGAAAUUUUAAUUUAUUUUAAUUAAUAAUAUAAGAGUUAUUGAAGCUUAAAAAUUUUUGUUAUAAACUAGGAUUAGAUACCCUAUUAUAGAAAUUGUAUAAAUAAAAAUCCAGAGUAGUAUUAGUUAAGGUCUUGAAACUCAAAAAAUUUGGCGGUAUUUUAGUCUAUUUAGAGGAACCUGUAGUAUAAUCGAUAAUCCACGAUGGACCUCACUUAACUUUGUUUUUCAGUUUGUAUACCGCUGUUAUUUGAAGAUUUUAUAAGAAUAAUAAUUUUCAUGGUUUUUUAUUAAAAAAUAUAUCAGGUCAAGGUGCAGCUUAUGGUUAAGAAUUUAUGGGUUACAAUAAAAUUAUUUAUACGGAUGAAAAUAUGAAAUUAUUUUUUGAAGGUGGAUUUAAUAGUAAAUUUUUAAAGAUUAAAGAGUUGAUUUUAGCUCUAAAAUAUGCACACAUCGCCCGUCGCUCUUGUUAUUAAUAUAAGAUAAGUCGUAACAUAGUAGAUGUACUGGAAAGUGCAUCUAGAAUGAC